This 3161-nucleotide ribosomal RNA is filed under the name bacterium. RNAcentral describes it as "23S ribosomal RNA". It matches the Rfam family "Bacterial large subunit ribosomal RNA". The record is from RNAcentral.
UUAAAACAUCGAUAAGGGUAUACGGUGGAUGCCUUGGCACAAGAAGCCGACGAAGGACGCAGGAGCCGGCGAUACGCCUCGGGGAGCUGGCAAACAAGCUUUGAUCCGGGGAUGUCCGAAUGGGGAAACCUAUCCCGAUAAACUCGGGAUGCGCCUGUACGUGGUGUAUGGGUAGCGGGAACCAUGCGAAGUGAAACAUCUCAGUAGCAUGUGGAAAGGAAAACAACAGCUUUACGAAUUUCGAAUUGUUACGAAUUUACGAAUUCGUAUAUUCGUAAUUGAUUAGUUAUUCGUAAAGUUACAUUCCCCCAGUAGUGGCGAGCGAACGGGGAACAGCCUAAAUCAUAUUCAUGUUCGAGGAACAGCUUCCUUUUUGGAAUUUGUUCUUCAGAUAAAGGUUACAGCCGUUGUGAAUGUGGCGUUAUAAGAUCAAUUGCUUUCGUCCUGUAAGGCGAAAGGGAAUAAGAUGAGCUGUCUAGCGGAACACGCCUGGAAAGGCGGACCAGAGAAGGUGAUAGUCCUGUACACGAAAGACCUCAAACAUUCCUAGAUUGAUUCUUGAGUACGGCCAGACACGUGAAAUCUGGUCGGAAAUCGGGUCGACUACGAUCCAAGGCUAAAUACUUCUUGUGACCGAUAGUGAACAAGUACCGUGAGGGAAAGGUGAAAAGUAGCCCGGUGAGGGCAGUGAAAUAGUCCCUGAAACCGUAUAUCUACAAUGAGCGGAAGCCUAAAGCCCCAGCAAUGGGACACGGGCGACCGCGUGCCUAUUGAAGAAUGACCCAACGAGUUAACGUAUAUUGCUUGUUUAACCCCUGUCACAGGGGGAAGACAUAGUGAAAGCGAGGGUUAAUAGCCCGUAUUGAUCAAAAAUAAGAAUUUUUGAUCAAAGGUAGUAUGCGUUAGACCCGAAACCCGGUGAGCUACUCAUGGCCAGGAUGAACCCCGUGUAACAGCGGGGGGAGGUCCGAACCCACUAUUGUUGCAAAAAUAGGGGAUGAGCUGUGAGUAGGGGAGAAAUUCCAAUCGAACUGGGUGAUAGCUGGUUCUCCUCGAAAUAGCUUUAGGGCUAGCCUUCUUGAAUUUUUCCGGGGGUAAAGCACUGGAUCGGUAUCAGCGGGGCAACCCGUUGAAUCGAACCAAACUCUGAAUACCGGAAAAUAAUCAGGGGGAGUCAGACCGUGAGGUCUAAGCUUCACGCGUCCAAAGGGAAAGAACCCAGAUCGUCGUUUAAGGUCCCCAAAUCAAAGCUAUAGUGAAAAGGAUGUUUUUGUCCCAAGACAGGUAGGAGGUUGGCUUAGAGGUAGCCAUCCUUUAAAGAGUGUGUAACAACUCACUACCAAACCUUCCGCCUUCGGGCGGAGUGGGACUAAAAGCGCCGACAAUGUAUAGGGGCUAAGCUUUGUACCGAAAACACGAGUCCCCGCUUUUUUCGAAAAGCGGGGGCGGUAGAGGAGCAUUCUGACAACUGUGAAGCCUGACCCGCGAGGGCAGGUGGAGUUCGUCAGAAGAGAGAAUGUUGGGAUAAGUAAUUAUUAUGCAGGUGAGAAACCUGCACGCCGAAAAUCCAAGGUUUCCUGGGCAAUGAUUAUCAGCCCAGGGUUAGCCGGUCCUAACCGCAGUGCCUAAAGGUGCUCGCGGGAUGGCAAAGACGGUUGAUAUUCCGUCGCUACCGUUUAAUUAUCUUCGCAAGUGACGCAUCAUGGUAGGAUGAGCAGGAUCUGACUAUUCCUGUUUCUGAAUUUGUAGAGUGAUUCUCCUGGCAAAUCCGGAGAGUCUGCCUCAAGCAAUUGGGGCGAGCUUGAGAGUUUGGAAAAAUUCCGCAAGGGAAAUUUAUUUGAUCCAAGGUGCCCAGAAAAACUUCGUUGUUAAGUUGAACGGUAUCCGUACCGCAAACCGACUCUGGUGGAUGAGGAGAGAAUCCUCAGGCGAACGGGCCAAUACUCGUUCAGGAACUCGGCAAAAAAGCGGCCGUACCUUCGGUAUAAGGCCUGCCCCGUCGCAAGACGGGGUCGCAGCGAAAGACCCCUCCCGACUGUUUAUCAAAAACACAGGUCCCUGCUAAAGCGAAUAGCUGAUGUAUAGGGGCUGAUGCCUGGCCAGUGUCAGAAGGUUAAACCCGCCGCCGCAAGGUGGUGGGCCAAGCCCUGAUGAACGCCGGCGAUAACUAUAAUCGUCCUAUGGUAGCGAAAUUCCUUGUCGUGUAAGUUACGACCCGCACGAAUGGCAUAACGAGUGGGGGACUGUCUUAACGAGUAGCCCGAUGAAUUUGCAUUAUCGGUAAAGAUGCCGUUUACCCGCAGCAAGACGGAAAGACCCUAUGAAGCUUUACUAUAGCGUGUUAUUGGGUCAAGAUUUGUUCUGCUUAGAAUAGGUGGGAGACUUUGAAACCUCGCUUCCGGGCGAGGCGGAGUCGCAAUAUGAAAUACCACCCUGAAUAAAUUUUGAUUCUAACCGGUACUUAACCAGUGCUGGGACAGUGGCUCGUGGGUAGUUUAACUGGGGCGGUUGCCUCCUAAAAGGUAACGGAGGCGUUUAAAGGUCAGCUAGGCUCGGAUGGAAAUCGAGCCGAUAGCGCAAACGCAUAAGCUGGCUUAACUGCAAGGCAAGCACGCCGCGCAGGUGCGAAAGCAGAAGUUAGUGAUCCGACCAUCCAUAGUGGUAUGGUGGAAGCUCAACGGAUAAAAGCUACUCUAGGGAUAACAGGCUGAUCCGGUCCAAGAGUCCACAUCGACGACCGGGUUUGGCACCUCGAUGUCGGCUCGUCACAUCCUGGGGGUGAAGAAGCUCCCAAGGGUUAGGCUGUUCGCCUAUUAAAGUGGCACGCGAGCUGGGUUCAAAACGUCGUGAGACAGUUUGGUCCUUAUCUGCUGUGGGCGUUCGAAACUUGAGAGGAUUCAUCCCUAGUACGAGAGGACCGGGAUGAAUAGGGCUCUGGUGUACCGGUUGUGGUAUCAACUGCAUUGCCGGGUAGCUAAUCCCUAGUUAGGAUAAGCGCUGAAGGCAUAUAAGCGCGAAGCCGUCCUUAAGAUUAGGUUUCGUUGUCUCGCCGCAAGGCGAGAUAGAAGGUUCGGGGGAGACUACCCCGCAUAUAGGCUGCAGGUGUAAGAUCCGCAAGGAUUUCAGCCGAGCAGUACUAAUCAACCAAAAGUGUUUUAGUU